Molecule: ribosomal RNA, 484 nt
Filed under: uncultured bacterium
Lineage: Bacteria
Description: partial 16S ribosomal RNA
Rfam family: Bacterial small subunit ribosomal RNA
Source: RNAcentral
AUUGAACGCUGGCGGAAUGCUUUACACAUGCAAGUCGAGCGGCAGCACGGGGGCAACCCUGGUGGCGAGCGGCGAACGGGUGAGUAACACAUCGGAACAUGCCCAGUCGUGGGGGAUAACACUUCGAAAGAAGUGCUAAUACCGCAUACGUCCUGAGGGAGAAAGCGGGGGAUCGCAAGACCUCGCGCGAUUGGAGUGGCCGAUGUCAGAUUAGCUAGUUGGUGGGGUAAAGGCCUACCAAGGCAACGAUCUGUAGCUGGUCUGAGAGGAUGAUUAGCCACACUGGGACUGAGACACGGCCCAGACUCCUACGGGAGGCAGCAGUGGGGAAUUUUGGACAAUGGGGGCAACCCUGAUCCAGCCAUUCCGCGUGAGUGAAGAAGGCCUUCGGGUUGUAAAGCUCUUUCGGCAGGAACGAAACGGUGAGCUCUAACAUAGCUUGCUAAUGACGGUACCUGAAGAAGAAGCACCGGCUAACUACGUG